RNAcentral lists this non-coding RNA (205 nucleotides) under Erwinia billingiae. RNAcentral's name for it is "GcvB RNA". It matches the Rfam family "GcvB RNA". From Rfam's summary of the family: The gcvB gene encodes a small untranslated RNA involved in expression of the dipeptide and oligopeptide transport systems in Escherichia coli. Lineage: Bacteria; Pseudomonadati; Pseudomonadota; Gammaproteobacteria; Enterobacterales; Erwiniaceae. The record is from Rfam by way of RNAcentral.
ACUUCCUGAGCCGGAACGAAAAGCAGUUUGAAAUUGGGGCGGAAACGCCGGAUUUUGAAGGGCUUUUGGCUUGUGGUCGUGAUGUUGUGUUUGCAUUUGAUCUGACGCUUUUCAGAUCUGAUAGCCUGGCUAUCUUUUAUUCCUGUAGAUUUACCCUGUCUGUCCAUAGUGAUUAAUAGCACCGCAAAUUGCGGUGCUUUUUUUU